UGGAUAUAGAUAUAAAAACAUUAAAAUUCAUCAUCAUCAUCCAUUUGAAUAUAGACAUUAAUAUUUAUUUUAUUCUAAUCAGCCAGCUAGUUUUCAGUUUAUUUGUCGUCAACUCCUUGGUCGUCGUCCUCGUAGGACAUAGGUAUAUAUGUGCUUGGAUCAUUACUAAUAGCUAGCAUAUAAGCAAUACAAUCAUAGGCUAGCUGGCUUGUUAGUAUUUUUUUUUUGACAUAGAUUAAGAUAUAUAUGGGCGUGUGCAGCAAGAGAUACAUUUGCUUCCUCUCGAUCCCCAGCGAUCUUUCGGUGCUAUCGUGGCGUGGAUCAAGUGGUGAACUACGUCACCUAGUUUGUAGCGCAGACGUAUGUGUAGACGUUUGUGUACUGUCAUGUGCUAUCGCAUAUUUCAACCCACACACUUAAUUUGCCCGUGUAUAUUAAAUAGUUUGACUGUGUGUAUAUUAAAUAGUACUACUUUCAUUUUUUUUUAUUUGACGCUCGAUAGUUGAAAUUUACAGUAACAAACGUCAAAUAAAAAAACCAAAAAACCGGAGC
RNAcentral lists this long non-coding RNA (552 nucleotides) under Zea mays. RNAcentral describes it as "long non-coding RNA NONZMAT003407". Lineage: Eukaryota; Viridiplantae; Streptophyta; Magnoliopsida; Poales; Poaceae. The record is from RNAcentral.